UUUGUCACCACAUUUCACCGACAAAACGCUCUCGGAAACGAACAGAGAGAAGAGGGCAAAACUGUUGAUCAAACCGGAUCGAGAAAACAGCUGUAGUUUUUCUGUCCGUUGCUCCUCGUCAUCAGUUCCCAGUUCGCAACUCCUCAUCACAUCGCAUGCACGCGCGCCCCUGCGCUUCUCGCGUUUCACGGGCAACUCCCCGCCCCGUCGUCGUCUUCUCCAACCUCUCGCCCGCCCCCGCCUUAUCACCACCUCGCUCUCUUUUCCCUUUUGUAUGCGCUCUUACCAACUGCACCGGACUCAACUGAGAUCCAUAUAUAACCAGGCAACCACCGCUGCCCCUCUACAGCCGAGGGGUGCCGUGCCGUGCCGCGAGGAGAGAGAAGAGGAAGGGGAGGAAGGGUUGGUGGUUGCGGAUACCAGGAGGCCGCCGGGCAUUGGGCUUGGGAUUCUCGGUCCUUUCGCCAGGACGGCAGGACCAAGGAGGCCAGAGGACGACGGGUACAGUGAGAGGGCGCUGCCGAGGUGUCCCCUUCGCCUCCAGCCGCUUCCUCCUUCUUCAGGAGAGAGGAGAUGGGCGAGACGGCCAUGGCCGGGUACGGGCUGGACAGGCCGGCGCGCUGCAGCGUCAGCUUCGACACGCCGUGCGGCUCCCUGCUGCGCGAGCUCGAGCAAAUAUGGACAGAGAUCGGGGAGCGCGAACAAGAUAAAGAUCGGAUGUUUCAAGAACUCGAAGCGGAGUGUAUGCGUGUGUAUCGUCGGAAGGUCGACAGUGCCAAUGCUGAUAGAAGCCAGCUCCGCCAGUCAGUGAUGGCCAAAGAAGCAGAGCUUAAAGCUUUAGUGGCUUCGAUAGGUGAAAAUACUACACAAUUUAAGGUGAAUGAAAAGCAUGCAUCGUUGAAAGAACAACUUGCUGCAGUGACGCCUCUCUUGGAUGAUCUCAGGGCCAUGAAAGAAGAAAGAAUCAAACAGUUCUCAAAUGUGCAAUCGCAAAUCGAGACGAUAAAUGCACAAAUAUCUGAUCACAAUUAUCAGCAUGAUGAUGGUUCGUCCAAACGUCUGAACAAUGAUCAUGACUUGUCAACCAGAAGACUUGCUGAUCUUCAAAUGCAGCUACGCAAUUUACAAAAAGAGAAGUCUGACCGCCUUCAGAAAGUAUUUGUAUAUGUGGAUGAAGUGCACUGCCUAUGCGCUGUGCUUGGGAUGGAUUUUGCAAAGACUGUAAAGGACGUGCAUCCAAGUUUGCAUGGGACCAACUCAGAUAAUUCGACGAAUAUCAGUGAUAGCACCCUUGAAGGUCUUACUCAGACUAUCCUGAAGCUCAAAGCAGAAAAGAGGACCAGAGUCUCCAAGUUGCAAGAAAUUGUGGGGAAACUCCACAAGUUAUGGAAUCUGAUGGAGUCAACAGAACAAGAGAGGAGACAUUUCAGCGAAGUAGCCGCUGUUCUUGGAUCUUCUGAGGAAGAGAUCACUUCUCCUAGUGUCCUGUCACUGGAGACGAUUCAGGAGACAGAAGAGGAGGUCGAAAGACUAACUAAGCAAAAAGCGAGUAGAAUGAAGGAGCUUGUUCUUAAGAGAAGGGUAGAGCUAGAAAAUAUCUGCAGAAAUGCACAUAUGGAGCCCGAUACGAGCACAGCACCAGAGAAGAUCGUUGCUCUAAUCGAUUCUGGUCUAGUGGAUCCUUGCGAACUUCUUUCCAACAUCGAAGCGCAAAUUGCAAAAGCAAAUGAGGAAUCUCAUACGAGGAAAGAUAUCAUGGAGAGAGUAGACAAAUGGCUAUCGGCCUGUGAUGAAGAGACUUGGCUUGAGGAAUACAAUCAGGAUGAUAACAGGUACAGUGCGGGCAGGGGUGCCCACUUGAAUCUCAAGCGUGCAGAAAAAGCGCGGUUACUCGUUCAAAAGAUUCCAACUAUGAUUGACAACUUGAUAGACAAGACAUUUGCCUGGGAGGAUGAAAGCAAUACACCAUUUCUAUAUGACGGGGUUCGUCUGGUCGCAAUUUUGGAAGAGCAAAAACUCAGAAGAGUACAGAAGGAGGAAGAUAAGAAACGAUACCGGGACCAGAAGAAGCUGCAGAAUCUAUUGCUUAAAGAAAAGGAGUUGAUCUUUGGGUCCAAGUCUGUUCCGAGGAAAACAAGCAGUUUUAACAGGAGGACGAGCGGGCAUCAUCCAAAUGGAAACGGGGCUGGUUUCAUGACUCCGAUGCCCCGCCGGGUGUCAGCGGGCAGUGCCACUCCUGAGCUUUUGACACCACGCUCGUAUUCUGGCCGGUACAACAAUUACUUCAAGGAGAACAGGAGGAUGACGGCGACGCCACUCAACUUCUCUACGGCUUCCAAGGAUGACAGCAUGUCAUCCUUCGCCUCCAUUAGCGGCUCGGAGCCUGGUUCUCCAUUGGUUUUGCACUGAGGAAGAGGACUUUCUUGGCGGGGAGGGUUGCGGUGGAGGCUACCGUCAAGAUUGGGCAAUUGUGUGCUAGCUGUUGACCAUGCUAAUGUGUGACAAAGAUUGGACAGGAUUUAGAUAAGAUUGGCUGUAGAUACAUGACCUAGCACUUUGUGGUGGUGUUGUAAUUCCAGCUGCGAGUUUGAUCGGUGUGUGGUUAGGGAACAUGAGAAAGGUGUCAAUGUAUUUGUUUUGUGCUAAUUGUUUUCUCUUUAUAGUAUUUCUAGUUGCGUAUCAUCAUUUUGGAUGUGAAACAAGAGAUGGUCCUUUUUUUUUUGUAUCACAUAAAAGUGUUGUAUCCUGUAUUCAGCCUACAUUACAGGUUGAACCUGAUGUAUUCCACUUUAUCUUUUGGAGCAUGUAUAGGAAUGGCACUUGCAGUGGAAUGUCCAGCUGCUGCUGUAUUCAACCUCUAGGAAUUAAGCAUCAUCAUUCAGACAGGCGCUUGCAGUGGCAUGUCCAGCUGCUGAAAAUAUGA
This 2923-nucleotide ribosomal RNA is filed under the name Triticum aestivum (bread wheat). RNAcentral's name for it is "partial small subunit ribosomal RNA". Lineage: Eukaryota; Viridiplantae; Streptophyta; Magnoliopsida; Poales; Poaceae. The record is from RNAcentral.